This 480-nucleotide ribosomal RNA is filed under the name uncultured bacterium. RNAcentral's name for it is "SSU rRNA". It matches the Rfam family "Bacterial small subunit ribosomal RNA", at positions 26 to 518 of the family's 1533-position model. The record is from RNAcentral.
AGAACGAACGCUGGCGGCGUGGAUAAGACAUGCAAGUCGAACGGGAUUAUUUUGUAGCAAUACAGAAAUAAUUCAGUGGCGAACGGGUGCGUAACACGUGAGAAACCUGCCCCGGAGACCGGGAUAACUCGAGGAAACUCGAGCUAAUACCGGAUACCCCCACCGAACCGCAUGAUUUGGUGAGGAAAUGCUCCGACGCUCCGGGAGGGUCUCGCGGCCUAUCAGCUAGUUGGUGAGGUAAUGGCUCACCAAGGCUAAGACGGGUAGCUGGUCUGAGAGGACGAUCAGCCACACUGGGACUGAGACACGGCCCAGACUCCUACGGGAGGCAGCAGUGGGGAAUCUUGCGCAAUGGGCGAAAGCCUGACGCAGCAACGCCGCGUGGGGGAUGAAGGCUCUCGGGUUGUAAACCCCUUUCAGGAGGGACGAAAAUGACGGUACCUCCAGAAGAAGCCCGGCCAACUACGUGCCAGCAGCCGC